This is a long non-coding RNA of Corvus hawaiiensis (hawaiian crow), 1205 nucleotides long. RefSeq lists it as uncharacterized. NCBI's taxonomy places the organism in Eukaryota, Metazoa, Chordata, Aves, Passeriformes, Corvidae. The transcript is spliced from 3 exons. The record is from RefSeq and is a predicted model, not a curated record.
UGAAAGCAGAUGUUCCCGCACUGGAAGUGCUGUCAGUUUGUUUGUCCAGCACUGUCAAAGCUGGGCCCUCUCCCAGCGGGGUUGGAGCCUCAGCUGUGGCUGGAGGCAGCUGCAGGAAUUCCCAGUGUCCGGGAGUGGCUCUCCAGUCCUUGGCUGGGACAGCUUCCCCCAGCUGAUGGGUGGCUCUGGGUGAUGGUAAAGUCUGAGGGGAACUGGGGCUGGAUCUUGGUUAAUCACUGCAGGCAAUCUUUGGCACUGAUGAUUGGGGGCAUUGCUGAGCUGCUCCUGCUGUGAUUCUUUGCUGCUUUGAGCUGUAGCAAAUGACACAGUUCCUUCAGUUGGUGUCUGUGUCUUUGGUGCUGGCCCUGCCCACUGGUACAACAAAAUUGGUGUAGUCUGGCCGGAUCACACCAAAAUGUCACUUUUUAAAUGUAAAUGUAAGGAAUCAGUCCUGUCUGAAAUCCUGGAUGGGAAGAGCUUCCCUGGAGUUCGCUGGCUCUGGAGUGGGCUGAGGUCGGAGCACCGUGAGAGCAGUGGGGCAGUCGGUUAAAAGGAGCUGAAGCGCUGGAUGUCUUAAAAUGCAUCCAAAAAUUGGAUGUGGAAAAAGGAAAAGAGCUUGUGGGUUUGGGAAGAGGAGGAUGGAUUUUGUUAACAGCAUAUUGGAAACAGCACCAACAGAAGGAACAAUUGUUGUUGGAACGCUCCCACAUGGAGCAAUAGAAGAAGUUUUUAAUCUUGAGCUCAAAUGUCUUUGUGCAAGUUAACCAGUAAUAAUAUCAUAUUAUAUAUAUAAAAUAAUAUUUAUAUUGUAUAGAUAAUAAAUAAUAAUGUGAAAUAGUGCUGACAAUACAAAUUCUUUAGCUAUGGCUGCUCAGGGAUGUCACACUAAAUACCCUCCAGAAAAUGAUUGGCCAGGACCCAAAGGUCACUGGUAAAUUUUGUGAGAUUGCACACAACGCAUAAAGGAGGAAGGGAUGGAAUUGGCUGUUUUUACAGGGUUUGCUGAUACUGUGAUCUGGAAUGCUUUGUCUGUUCCUGUGAAAAAGACAGUGAUGAAGACUGCUGGGUUUUUCAUAUCCCAGAUUAUCCACAAGCUGCAGGAAUUGGUUGAGCAGAUGAAGGGGUUGUUAAAAGAGCAGCUGAAAAAAUGAGGAGAUGGGAACCCGUCCUGAUGGAGAACCCAUCUCCCAGAUGUGCUCCAUAGC